GAUGAACGCUGGCGGCGUGCCUAAUACAUGCAAGUCGAGCGAACGCACGAUAAGCUUGCUCUUCUGAUGUUAGCGGCGGACGGAUGAGUAACACGUGGAUAACCUACCUCUAAUUCUUGGAUAACUUCGGGAGACAGGAGCUAAUACCAGCUAAUAUUUUCUACCGCAUAAUUCAAAAGUGCAUGACGGUCUUGCCGUCACUUAUAGCUGGAUCCGCGCUGCAUUAGCUAGUUGGUAAGGUAACGGCUGACCAAGGCAACGAUGCAUAGCAGACCUGAGAGGAGGAUCGUCAACAAUGGAGCUGAGACACCGCCCAGAAGACUACGGGAGGCAGCAGUAGGGAAGCUUCCGCGAUGAGCGGAGGCAUGAUGGAGCAGCGCUGCGGGGGGGAUGAAGGUCUUCGGAUCGUAAAACUGUGUUAUUAGGGAAGAACAUAUGUGGAAGGAAAUGUGCACAUCGUGACGGUACCUAAUCAGAAAGCAACGGCUAACAACGUG
Molecule: ribosomal RNA, 497 nt
Filed under: uncultured bacterium
Lineage: Bacteria
Description: partial 16S ribosomal RNA
Rfam family: Bacterial small subunit ribosomal RNA
Source: RNAcentral